RNAcentral lists this small RNA (759 nucleotides) under Pongo abelii (Sumatran orangutan). RNAcentral describes it as "retained intron". Lineage: Eukaryota; Metazoa; Chordata; Mammalia; Primates; Hominidae. The record is from RNAcentral.
GUGGAGCAGCAUCUCAGCAGAGUGGCAGGAUGCUAGGGGCUGAGGGCAGAGGAAGUCAGUUCAGCCUUGGUGGUGUGUCUUUGGAGAGCUGCUUCUCAGCCUGGACCCCCGUGAGAACACCCACCAAAUGCUGCCAGGAUAGGUAAACUGUAAAGAGCUGGCACCUGGAGGGGAAGGCUGAGGCCAAGGCUAGGAGAGGGGUUCUGGCAGGCCAGGCCUUGCAGUGCGGGCCACUAGCACGGUGCUGUGUUCUCUCCCUACACAGUCAAGGCUCAACAGGAAAGGGGAAGGAGCAGGGGUGGGGUUGAUGGUGGCUGGAGCCAGGUCCUAGCCCUGUCCCUGGCCCAGGCUCCCCUCCCACCCCAGGUGCUGAGGACAAAUCAGUUCUCUGUGACCAGACAUGAGAAGGUCGCCAACGGGCUGUUGGGCGACCAAGGCCUUCCCGGAGUCUUCGUCCUCUAUGAGCUCUCGCCCAUGAUGGUGAAGCUGACAGAGAAGCACAGGUCCUUCACCCACUUCCUGACAGGUGUGUGCGCCAUCAUUGGGGGCAUGUUCACAGUGGCUGGACUCAUCGAUUCGCUCAUCUACCACUCAGCACGAGCCAUCCAGAAGAAAAUUGAUCUAGGGAAGACAACGUAGUCACCCUUGGCGCUUCCUCUGUCUCCUCUUUCUCCCUGGCCUGUGGUUGUCCCCCAGCCUCUGCCACCCUCCACCUCCUCAGUCAGCCCCAGGUUGAUCAAUCUAUUGAUUGUGAUAGUA